Molecule: ribosomal RNA, 763 nt
Filed under: Pseudomonas umsongensis
Lineage: Bacteria; Pseudomonadati; Pseudomonadota; Gammaproteobacteria; Pseudomonadales; Pseudomonadaceae
Description: bacterial SSU rRNA
Rfam family: Bacterial small subunit ribosomal RNA
Source: RNAcentral
UAGAGUUUGAUCCUGGCUCAGAUUGAACGCUGGCGGCAGGCCUAACACAUGCAAGUCGAGCGGAUGAAGAGAGCUUGCUCUCUGAUUCAGCGGCGGACGGGUGAGUAAUGCCUAGGAAUCUGCCUGGUAGUGGGGGACAACGUCUCGAAAGGGACGCUAAUACCGCAUACGUCCUACGGGAGAAAGCAGGGGACCUUCGGGCCUUGCGCUAUCAGAUGAGCCUAGGUCGGAUUAGCUAGUUGGUGAGGUAAUGGCUCACCAAGGCGACGAUCCGUAACUGGUCUGAGAGGAUGAUCAGUCACACUGGAACUGAGACACGGUCCAGACUCCUACGGGAGGCAGCAGUGGGGAAUAUUGGACAAUGGGCGAAAGCCUGAUCCAGCCAUGCCGCGUGUGUGAAGAAGGUCUUCGGAUUGUAAAGCACUUUAAGUUGGGAGGAAGGGCAGUAAAUUAAUACUUUGCUGUUUUGACGUUACCGACAGAAUAAGCACCGGCUAACUCUGUGCCAGCAGCCGCGGUAAUACAGAGGGUGCAAGCGUUAAUCGGAAUUACUGGGCGUAAAGCGCGCGUAGGUGGUUUGUUAAGUUGGAUGUGAAAUCCCCGGGCUCAACCUGGGAACUGCAUUCAAAACUGACAAGCUAGAGUAUGGUAGAGGGUGGUGGAAUUUCCUGUGUAGCGGGAAAUGCGUAGAUAUAGGAAGGAACACCAGGGCGAAGGCGACCACCGGACGAUACGACACGAGGGGAAAGAGGGAGGGGGUUUU